This 345-nucleotide long non-coding RNA is filed under the name Physcomitrium patens. RNAcentral's name for it is "long non-coding RNA (PPAT_LNC007881)". Lineage: Eukaryota; Viridiplantae; Streptophyta; Bryopsida; Funariales; Funariaceae. The record is from RNAcentral.
UUGAAUGAAUCGCAACAAUCUUAUCAUUAUCCCCUAAUCCAAUAGAUGUAAUCAAUUCCAAUGAAUUUUCCAGUCCAUUUUCUUCAUAAACAUCUAAAAUCCUCUCAUCAUCUUGUAAUGUACCUAACUUAUGUAAUUCUCCUUUAAAUAUUAUAUAAUCUUUUUCUUUCUUUUCUUUUAAAAUCAUCAACUUUUUUAUACAUAAUAUUUCUAUUCUCCAAAAUAUCAAUAAAACUUGCAUCAAAGGCACCUUCAUCUAGCAAGAGUACCUCCUCUUUUGUACCUCCAUAAUCUCGCUUUAUAGUGGUACCUCCCGAAAAUCCUUAAAUCCUUCAACAAUCUUUG